ACCUGAUGCAGCGACGCCGCGUGAGGGAUGACGGCUUCGGGUUGUAACCUCUUUCAGCAGGGAAGAAGCGCAAGUGACGGUACCUGCAGAAGAAGCGCCGGCUAACUACGUGCCAGCAGCCGCGGUAAUACGUAGGGCGCAAGUCGUUGUCCGGAAUUAUUGGGCGUAAAGAGCUCGUAGGCGGCUUGUCACGUCGGAUGUGAAAGCCCGGGGCUUAACCCCGGGUCUGCAUUCGAUACGGGCUAGCUAGAGUGUGGUAGGGGAGAUCGGAAUUCCUGGUGUAGCGGUGAAAUGCGCAGAUAUCAGGAGGAACACCGGUGGCGAAGGCGGAUCUCUGGGCCAUUACUGACGCUGAGGAGCGAAAGCGUGGGGAGCGAACAGGAUUAGAUACCCUGGUAGUCCACGCCGUAAACGUUGGGAACUAGGUGUUGGCGACAUUCCACGUCGUCGGUGCCGCAGCUAACGCAUUAAGCUCCCCGCCUGGGGAGUACGGCCGCAAGGCUA
RNAcentral lists this ribosomal RNA (504 nucleotides) under uncultured Actinomycetes bacterium. RNAcentral's name for it is "bacterial SSU rRNA". It matches the Rfam family "Bacterial small subunit ribosomal RNA", at positions 381 to 896 of the family's 1533-position model. The record is from RNAcentral. Lineage: Bacteria; Bacillati; Actinomycetota; Actinomycetes.